RNAcentral lists this ribosomal RNA (1471 nucleotides) under Salmonella enterica subsp. enterica serovar Typhimurium. RNAcentral describes it as "partial 23S ribosomal RNA". It matches the Rfam family "Bacterial large subunit ribosomal RNA", at positions 145 to 1572 of the family's 2925-position model. Lineage: Bacteria; Pseudomonadati; Pseudomonadota; Gammaproteobacteria; Enterobacterales; Enterobacteriaceae. The record is from RNAcentral.
ACACUAUCAUUAACUGAAUCCAUAGGUUAAUGAGGCGAACCGGGGGAACUGAAACAUCUAAGUACCCCGAGGAAAAGAAAUCAACCGAGAUUCCCCCAGUAGCGGCGAGCGAACGGGGAGGAGCCCAGAGCCUGAAUCAGCAUGUGUGUUAGUGGAAGCGUCUGGAAAGGCGCGCGAUACAGGGUGACAGCCCCGUACACAAAAGCGCAUGUGCUGUGAGCUCGAUGAGUAGGGCGGGACACGUGGUAUCCUGUCUGAAUAUGGGGGGACCAUCCUCCAAGGCUAAAUACUCCUGACUGACCGAUAGUGAACCAGUACCGUGAGGGAAAGGCGAAAAGAACCCCGGCGAGGGGAGUGAAAAAGAACCUGAAACCGUGUACGUACAAGCAGUGGGAGCACCCUUCGGGGUGUGACUGCGUACCUUUUGUAUAAUGGGUCAGCGACUUAUAUUCUGUAGCAAGGUUAACCGAAUAGGGGAGCCGGAGGGAAACCGAGUCUUAACCGGGCGUUAAGUUGCAGGGUAUAGACCCGAAACCCGGUGAUCUAGCCAUGGGCAGGUUGAAGGUUGGGUAACACUAACUGGAGGACCGAACCGACUAAUGUUGAAAAAUUAGCGGAUGACCUGUGGCUGGGGGUGAAAGGCCAAUCAAACCGGGAGAUAGCUGGUUCUCCCCGAAAGCUAUUUAGGUAGCGCCUCGUGAAUUCAUCUCCGGGGGUAGAGCACUGUUUCGGCUAGGGGGCCAUCCCGGCUUACCAACCCGAUGCAAACUGCGAAUACCGGAGAAUGUUAUCACGGGAGACACACGGCGGGUGCUAACGUCCGUCGUGAAGAGGGAAACAACCCAGACCGCCAGCUAAGGUCCCAAAGUCAUGGUUAAGUGGGAAACGAUGUGGGAAGGCCCAGACAGCCAGGAUGUUGGCUUAGAAGCAGCCAUCAUUUAAAGAAAGCGUAAUAGCUCACUGGUCGAGUCGGCCUGCGCGGAAGAUGUAACGGGGCUAAACCAUGCACCGAAGCUGCGGCAGCGAACGUAUCACCCAAGACAACUUUACGGAGUUGACGAUUGACGGAGCGAAGCGACGUCAAAGCGUUCAUUAAAGUCGAGUUGGCUUAGGGAUACGUUCGUUGGGUAGGGGAGCGUUCUGUAAGCCUGUGAAGGUGUGUCGUGAGGCAUGCUGGAGGUAUCAGAAGUGCGAAUGCUGACAUAAGUAACGAUAAAGCGGGUGAAAAGCCCGCUCGCCGGAAGACCAAGGGUUCCUGUCCAACGUUAAUCGGGGCAGGGUGAGUCGACCCCUAAGGCGAGGCCGAAAGGCGUAGUCGAUGGGAAACGGGUUAAUAUUCCCGUACUUGGUGUUACUGCGAAGGGGGGACGGAGAAGGCUAUGUUGGCCGGGCGACGGUUGUCCCGGUUUAAGCGUGUAGGUGUGUGUUCCAGGUAAAUCCGGUUCACUUUAACACUGAGGCGUGACGACGA